AGAGUUUGAUUCUGGCUCAGGACGAACGCUGGCGGCGUGCUUAACACAUGCAAGUCGAACGGUGAUGGCCAGCUUGCUGGUCUGAUCAGUGGCGAACGGGUGAGUAACACGUGAGCAACCUGCCCUUCACUCUGGGAUAACCACGGGAAACGGUGGCUAAUACCGGAUAUGAGACGUACACGCAUGUGUCGCGUCUGGAAAGAUUUAUCGGUGAAGGAUGGGCUCGCGGCCUAUCAGCUUGUUGGUGGGGUAGUGGCCCACCAAGGCGACGACGGGUAGCCGGCCUGAGAGGGCGACCGGCCACACUGGGACUGAGACACGGCCCAGACUCCUACGGGAGGCAGCAGUGGGGAAUAUUGCACAAUGGGCGCAAGCCUGAUGCAGCGACGCCGCGUGAGGGAUGACGGCCUUCGGGUUGUAAACCUCUUUCAGCAGGGAAGAAGCGCAAGUGACGGUACCUGCAGAAGAAGCGCCGGCUAACUACGUGCCAGCAGCCGCGGUAAUACGUAGGGCGCAAGCGUUGUCCGGAAUUAUUGGGCGUAAAGAGCUCGUAGGCGGUUUGUCGCGUCUGCUGUGAAAACCUAAGGCUCAACCUUGGGCUUGCAGUGGGUACGGGCAGACUAGAGUGCGGUAGGGGUGACUGGAAUUCCUGGUGUAGCGGUGGAAUGCGCAGAUAUCAGGAGGAACACCGAUGGCGAAGGCAGGUCACUGGGCCGCAACUGACGCUGAGGAGCGAAAGCAUGGGGAGCGAACAGGAUUAGAUACCCUGGUAGUCCAUGCCGUAAACGUUGGGCACUAGGUGUGGGGCUCAUUCCACGAGUUCCGUGCCGCAGCAAACGCAUUAAGUGCCCCGCCUGGGGAGUACGGCCGCAAGGCUAAAACUCAAAGAAAUUGACGGGGGCCCGCACAAGCGGCGGAGCAUGCGGAUUAAUUCGAUGCAACGCGAAGAACCUUACCAAGGCUUGACAUACACCGGAAACUUCCAGAGAUGGUUGCCCCGCAAGGUCGGUGUACAGGUGGUGCAUGGUUGUCGUCAGCUCGUGUCGUGAGAUGUUGGGUUAAGUCCCGCAACGAGCGCAACCCUCGUCCCAUGUUGCCAGCGGGUUAUGCCGGGGACUCAUGGGAGACUGCCGGGGUCAACUCGGAGGAAGGUGGGGAUGACGUCAAAUCAUCAUGCCCCUUA
This 1183-nucleotide ribosomal RNA is filed under the name Cellulomonas sp. URHD0024. Its description in RNAcentral is "bacterial SSU rRNA". It matches the Rfam family "Bacterial small subunit ribosomal RNA", at positions 8 to 1204 of the family's 1533-position model. The record is from RNAcentral. Lineage: Bacteria; Bacillati; Actinomycetota; Actinomycetes; Micrococcales; Cellulomonadaceae.